This 403-nucleotide ribosomal RNA is filed under the name Fusobacteriota bacterium. RNAcentral describes it as "Fusobacteria bacterium partial 16S ribosomal RNA". It matches the Rfam family "Bacterial small subunit ribosomal RNA", at positions 355 to 776 of the family's 1533-position model. Lineage: Bacteria; Fusobacteriati; Fusobacteriota. The record is from RNAcentral.
UGGGGAAUAUUGCACAAUGGAGGGAACUCUGAUGCAGCGACGCCGCGUGAACGAAGAAGGCUUUCGAGUCGUAAAGUUCUUCUAUAUGGGAAGAUAAUGACGGUACCAUAAGAAAAAGCCCCGGCUAACUACGUGCCAGCAGCCGCGGUAAUACGUAGGGGGCUAGCGUUGUCCGGAAUCACUGGGCGUAAAGGGUUCGCAGGCGGAAAUGCAAGUCAGGUGUAAAAGGCAGUAGCUUAACUACUGUAAGCAUUUGAAACUGCAUAUCUGGAGAAGAGUAGAGGUAAGUGGAAUUUUUAGUGUAGCGGUGAAAUGCGUAGAUAUUAAAAAGAAUACCGGUGGCGAAGGCGACUUACUGGGCUCAUUCUGACGCUGAGGAACGAAAGCGUGGGUAGCAAACAGG